UACGUAGGGGGCAAGCGUUAUCCGGAUUUACUGGGUGUAAAGGGAGCGUAGACGGCAGUGCAAGUCUGGAGUGAAAGGCGGGGGCUCAACCCCCGGACUGCUCUGGAAACUGUACGGCUGGAGUGCAGGAGAGGUAAGUGGAAUUCCUAGUGUAGCGGUGAAAUGCGUAGAUAUUAGGAGGAACACCAGAGGCGAAGGCGGCUUACUGGACUGUAACUGACGUUGAGGCUCGAAAGCGUGGGGAGCAAACAGG
This 253-nucleotide ribosomal RNA is filed under the name uncultured bacterium. RNAcentral's name for it is "partial 16S ribosomal RNA". It matches the Rfam family "Bacterial small subunit ribosomal RNA", at positions 524 to 776 of the family's 1533-position model. The record is from RNAcentral.